GGUUGUGGCUCAGUGGUAGAGUGCUUGCCUAGCACGUGUGAGGCACUGGGUUCGAUCCUCAGCACCA
This 67-nucleotide transfer RNA is filed under the name Marmota monax (woodchuck). Its description in RNAcentral is "tRNA.Ala". The record is from RNAcentral. Lineage: Eukaryota; Metazoa; Chordata; Mammalia; Rodentia; Sciuridae.